Long non-coding RNA from Mercenaria mercenaria, 450 nucleotides. RefSeq lists it as uncharacterized. The transcript has 3 exons. NCBI's taxonomy places the organism in Eukaryota, Metazoa, Mollusca, Bivalvia, Venerida, Veneridae. The record is from RefSeq and is a predicted model, not a curated record.
AGUAAAAGUAAAGGGUAGUGAUAUUCUGGACUUUUCCUCAGAGAGAGAGCCUGAACAAAGUGUAUGAUUCAAGUGAAUCUGACCUCACACAAGACUCGGGAAAUGCAACAAGGAGAGGCCACAUGCAAACACAAGGAGUUUCUAGAAUCUGAAGAAGUUCCUGUAUCAAUUCCAGUUGACAUGAAACAUCAGAGUAUUGUUCAGAUAAUAUAUGCUGGAUGCAGAGAGGAAGACAGGUAAAUGAGAACAUAGCUGUAAUUCCUCUGAUGAUGUUUGAUGUGCAGCAGCAUGGUCUCAAGAUUGUCAGCAAGAACAGACCCGUCACCAGCUGUAUGGAGAAAUACAAAGAGAGAAAAUAUAUCAGUGUAUGGACAGCUCAAGAGAAACAGAUAUUUAAGGAGAAAUACCCGCAGCAUCAAAAAACUUGCAAUCUUACUGCUUCAUUUCUUU